Long non-coding RNA from Felis catus (domestic cat), 520 nucleotides. RefSeq lists it as uncharacterized. The record is from RefSeq and is a predicted model, not a curated record. NCBI's taxonomy places the organism in Eukaryota, Metazoa, Chordata, Mammalia, Carnivora, Felidae. The transcript is spliced from 3 exons.
UCAGUGCCUAUAUUGUGUUCACCAUCUAAGGAACCUUCAUGUGUGCAGGCUAGCAGGAAAAGCAGAGAGGAUCUCCCAGGAAAAUACUCUAUUUGUGCUACAUCCUCCAAAAGAGGAGUGAAGACAGUGUCACUGCUGUGUCAAUAUCAGGAAAGAUAAAGGAGCUGGGGCAUGAAGAGGUAUACGACUUGGCCAAAGGCAAAAAAACCUAGGCAGCCUGAACUGAGCCCAGCGGGACUCCCCAUCACCUGUAGUAGCUGAGAACAUCGCGGUCCUCCUUCUGCCCUUCUUUGGCAUCUUGGGCCAGUUCCCGGACACUUUUGCUGCGAAUCUCCUUGUUGCUGUCCCUCCAAAAGAGCCACACCUCUUCCUCGUCUUCUCCUGCUUCCAGAGCAUUCUCUCCAGUAGAAACACCCUCAAAUUCAAAACGAGAAAGAACCAGCCUGGAAAAUAAGAGGAGGAGGAGUGAAAACUCCUUAUGUUAGCAAUACUUGCUAAUCUAAGAUCAACUCUAGCAAUA